RNAcentral lists this long non-coding RNA (856 nucleotides) under Rhinopithecus bieti (black snub-nosed monkey). RNAcentral describes it as "lncRNA (ENSRBIG00000045657.1)". Lineage: Eukaryota; Metazoa; Chordata; Mammalia; Primates; Cercopithecidae. The record is from RNAcentral.
CCCCACCUCCCUCUGGAGAACUUUCUGCAGCUCAGCCCUCACCAGGUAUGAGAAUCAUCUUCUUUAUUUGACUGGCCCAUCUGCUAGUGGGGACGAGAGUCAAUGGCGUGUCUCUCAGUGGCCCCUCCCUGCAAGAACCCCACAGUGACCCCAGUGCGAGCUAACCUUCCCCAUCUCAGAUCCAGGCCCUGGAGGAUAGCUGGCCAGCAGCAGGUCUGGGGCCAGGGCAUGCCCGCCAUGUGCUGCGCAGCCUGGUAAACCAGAGUGUCCAGGAUGGUGAGGAGCAGGUAUGCAGGUGGCAUAUGAACUUCUGGGGAUAUUGCGCUCAUCUGGAGGAGCGGUGCUGAGCCCCGGGAGCUGCGGGUCUGGGCCCCUCUCUUCCCUCAGCUGGGCCUCCGCUUCCUGCAGGAGCUGUCAGAGCCCCAGCUUAGAGCCAUGCUUCCUGUCCUGCAGGGAGCUAGUGUUACACCUGCUCAGGCUGUCCUGCUGCUUGGACGGCUCCUUCCUAGGCAUGAUCUAUGCCUGGAGGAACUCUGCUCCUUGCAUCUUCUGCUGCCUGGCCUCAGCCCCAGACACUCCAGGCCAUCCCUAGGCGAGUCCUGGUUGGGGCUUGUUCCUGCCUGGCCCCUGAACUGUCACGCCUCUCAGCCUGCCAGACCGCAGCACUACUGCAGACCUUUCGGGUAUGAGAGUAGCAAGGAGGAUGAGACAAUCAGGGAUACGGGCUCUCUCUGGUUGGGAGGAAGGCAUCUCCCCUGAGGCCACGGAAGGCCUUUCAUACCUCCCCACUUAAACACACACACACACACACACACACACACACACACACAACCAAUUCUCAUGCAGGUUAAAGAUG